AGAGUUUGAUCCUGGCUCAGAAUCAACGCUGGCGGCGCGCUUAACACAUGCAAGUCGCACGAGAAAGGGGCAACCUGAGUAAAGUGGCGUACGGGUGAGUAACACGUGGAUCAUGCACCUUUUAGUGGGGAAUAACUUUGGGAAACCGAAGAUAAUACCGCAUAAGCCCGAGAGGGGAAAGCAGCAAUGCGCUGAAAGAG
Molecule: ribosomal RNA, 200 nt
Filed under: uncultured bacterium
Lineage: Bacteria
Description: partial 16S ribosomal RNA
Rfam family: Bacterial small subunit ribosomal RNA
Source: RNAcentral